RNAcentral lists this ribosomal RNA (445 nucleotides) under uncultured bacterium. RNAcentral describes it as "partial 16S ribosomal RNA". It matches the Rfam family "Bacterial small subunit ribosomal RNA", at positions 330 to 792 of the family's 1533-position model. The record is from RNAcentral.
ACCAGACUCCUACGGGAGGCAGCAGUGGGGGAUAUUGCACAAUGGGGGGAACCCUGAUGCAGCGACGCCGCGUGGGUGAAGAAGCGCCUCGGCGCGUAAAGCCCUGUCAGCAGGGAAGAAAAUGACGGUACCUGAAGAAGAAGCCCCGGCUAACUACGUGCCAGCAGCCGCGGUAAUACGUAGGGGGCAAGCGUUAUCCGGAUUUACUGGGUGUAAAGGGGGCGCAGACGGCGAUGCAAGCCAGGAGUGAAAGCCCGGGGCCCAACCCCGGGACUGCUCUUGGAACUGCGUGGCUGGAGUGCAGGAGGGGCAGGCGGAAUUCCUAGUGUAGCGGUGAAAUGCGUAGAUAUUAGGAGGAACACCGGCGGCGAAGGCGGCCUGCUGGACCGUAACUGACGUUGAGGCUCGAAAGCGUGGGGAGCAAACAGGAUUAGAUACCCGUGUA